GACGAACGCUGGCGGCGUGCUUAACACAUGCAAGUCGAACGGUCCUGUUUUUGAAGCGUUUCGGCGUGGAGGGGACGGGGCAGUGGCGCACGGGUGAGUAAUGCGCGAGGACCUGCCCGCGGGAGGGGGACAGCAGUUGGAAACGGCUGGUGAUACCCCGUAGGCCGGGAGGUAAAAGGGCGGAGACGCCCGCCUGCGGAUGGACUCGCGUCCUAUCAGCUAGUUGGUGAGGCAACGGCUCACCAAGGCGACGACGGGUAGCCGGCCUGAGAGGGUGGUCCGGCCACACUGGAACUGAGACACGGUCCAGACUCCUACGGGAGGCAGCAGUGGGGAAUUUUGGGCAAUGGGGGAGACCCGUGACCCAGCGACGCCGCGUGAGGGACGAAGGCCCUUGGGUCGUAAACCUCUUUGCAGGGGAAGAAGUGCGUGACGGUACCUUGCGAAUAAGUCCCGGCUAACUACGUG
This 468-nucleotide ribosomal RNA is filed under the name uncultured bacterium. RNAcentral describes it as "bacterial SSU rRNA". It matches the Rfam family "Bacterial small subunit ribosomal RNA", at positions 28 to 507 of the family's 1533-position model. The record is from RNAcentral.